RNAcentral lists this ribosomal RNA (250 nucleotides) under uncultured bacterium. Its description in RNAcentral is "partial 16S ribosomal RNA". It matches the Rfam family "Bacterial small subunit ribosomal RNA", at positions 524 to 773 of the family's 1533-position model. The record is from RNAcentral.
UACAGAGGAGGCAAGCGUUGUUCGGAAUCACUGGGCUUAAAGCGCGUGUAGGCGGCUCGGAAAGUGUCGUGUGAAAUCCCAGGGCUCAACCCUGGAACUGCGCGGCAAACUACCGGGCUUGAGGUUGGUAGAGGUGCCUGGAACUCUCGGUGGAGCGGUGAAAUGCGUAGAUAUCGAGAGGAACGCCGGAGGCGAAAGCGGGGCACUGGGCCAAUUCUGACGCUGAGACGCGAAAGCGUGGGGAGCAAAC